This is a long non-coding RNA of Gadus macrocephalus (Pacific cod), 1095 nucleotides long. RefSeq lists it as uncharacterized. The record is from RefSeq and is a predicted model, not a curated record. The transcript is spliced from 4 exons. Lineage: Eukaryota; Metazoa; Chordata; Actinopteri; Gadiformes; Gadidae.
UGCAGGCUCCACCGAAAUAGUCACUCAUUCAGUUUGAAAUUAUUCGAAGUUAGUCCCAAUCGAAAGACAUAAAUAAUCAAAUAGCGUACGUGAUUAUGGUGGAUGUUUUUAAAAUAAACAACACAAUCCUUCGUUAAAGGCUGGAAAAUAGGCUUAACAACAUGUUCUAGCCUAUUUUCCAAGCUAUUACUGCUGAAACACUUUCCAAAUAGUCAACACAAUUUGAGGCGUGACACUCAAGGGACACAAUUUUCGUCAAUUAACAACGGAACUUUGGUGCGCGUCACAAACGUGUCACACGUUCGGGGUUCCCCCCGUGAGCUGGAGCUGGGCGUCGGGGGGGCACGGCGGAGCCGAGCGUGACAGUCAGGACCACCACCACCACCACAGCAUCCCCAUAGGGAGGGGGGCAUGCCUGCAGAGGCAUAACCACUCAGGGACCAGCAUGGAGGAGUGGAGGAGAAGGGGGAGGAAUUGGAGAAUAGAUAAUCUCAGGGACACCUGUGGCCAGCCACUGUCUCCGUCACAAACAACCGCCUUUGCAAAUCAGCGAGGGAACCGGGAGGAUACGCCCAGUCAGACGAUUGGAACAACAACGGCUCAUGAUGAAACCUCUCUGCCUAAAAAAUUAGCCACGCCGUGUUGCAGGGGUGAGCAGGAGUGUGUAGCCCAACUCAGGGGAGGACAAGACAAGAGAAGAGCCUUCUCCAAAUCCUCAGGUCUAGUUGCUGAGAAGGUAACCCCAGUGGGGGUGGUGGAGGUGCACAACCUAUGACAGAUUUGUCCUGCACUUUGUGGUGUUACUUCGUGGUUCUCUCAGCGGACACAGGCAGGUAACUUCACAGUCUACUUCUCCGCGAUCGUUUUUUUCCCACCGCUAGCAGCCCGGUGAGAAAUAAAAAAUACUUCAUGGAUGGAAAAGUUGUGUCGGUGGUUGUCCCAAAAUCCCAACUGCUGACAAAUUGACGUCAAAAAUCCAAUUUAAUUUGGAUAAAGAUGCUUAGCAAUAAUCUAUGUCUCCCUUUUGAACACAUCUUAUUAGUUGGAGGUCUUCCUGCUGUGGCAUAAAGGUGAUGAAAUGUCUCUUUUAAAGGG